CCCCUAGCGACUAGGUUAUUCGAUCCUAAUUGUCAUCUUGUUUAAUAUGACAUAAUUGCCAUAUUUUUGUCCCUAGCGACCAGAUUAUUUGAUCCUAAUUGCCAUGUUGUUUACCACAUUUCAAUUGCCAUAUUGUUUGCCCCUAGCGACCAGGUUAUUUGAUCCUAAUUGCCGUGUUGUUUACCACCUUUUAAUCACCAUGUUGUUUGCUCUUAGCGACCAGAUUAUUUGAUCAUAAUUGCUUUGUCGUUUGCCACCAUACAAUUGCCUUUUUUUUUUGUCUUUACCGAUCAGAUUAUUUGAUCUAGUUGACAUGUUGUUUAUUAUUGCUCCAUUGCCGCUCUUAGGGACCAGAUUAUUCGAUCUAGGGCAUUUGUAGCGUCAGUUGUCAUGUUCGUCAGAACUUCUCAGGCCAGUGAAGAAAGUGGGGUUCAUGUGACAAGACUAAUUGUUCGGUUGUUUACCUUUGAGGACCAAUCAUGACAAAAGAGAAGAACUAAUCGCUAUAUGCUCAUUUUCAUCGAAGGAAAACACAGGUACAGCAUCGCCACCAAAAAACAUAAGAA
Molecule: long non-coding RNA, 566 nt
Filed under: Brachypodium distachyon (stiff brome)
Lineage: Eukaryota; Viridiplantae; Streptophyta; Magnoliopsida; Poales; Poaceae
Description: long non-coding RNA (BDIS_LNC005744)
Source: RNAcentral